AUUUCUUUCUUAAAAAUUUUGUUUUGUUUUAAAUAUUUAUUAUUUUUAGUUGUGGUUGGACCCAAUAUCUUUUAUUUUUUAUGUGGUGCUGAGGAUUGAACCCAGGGCCUCACACAUACUAGGUGAGCGCUCUACCACUGAGCCUCAACCUCAGCCCUUGUUUUGUUGUUUACCAGGAGAAUUUACCAGGGAAACCACUGGGUCUUCCUUCUUUUUUGGAAGGUUAUUAAUUAUUAAUUCAAUUCUUUAACAGAUAUACACCUAUUCAAAUAAUAUAUUUCUCUUGUGUAAGUUUUGGUACUUUGUGUUGCUCAAAGAAUUGAUCCACAUCAUUUAUCAAAUUCACAAGCAUGGAAUUGUUUAUUUAACGUCCUUUUAAUUGUCCAUGAGAUCCAUAACAGUGACCCCUCUUCAAUUUCCAAUAUUAGUAAUUUGGAUCUUCCCCCCUUUUUUAAACUGAUUAGUUCAACUAGAGAUUUUUUUUUUCAAUUUUA
RNAcentral lists this long non-coding RNA (494 nucleotides) under Marmota monax (woodchuck). Lineage: Eukaryota; Metazoa; Chordata; Mammalia; Rodentia; Sciuridae. The record is from RNAcentral.